AACGAACGCUGGCGGCAUGCCUAACACAUGCAAGUCGAACGAAACCUUCGUGUCUAGUGGCGCACGGGUGGGUAACGCGUGGGAACCUACCCUUAGGUUCGGAAUAACUCCCCGAAGGGGGUGCUAAUACCGGAUAAGGUCUUAGGACCAAAGAUUUAUCGCUUUUGGAUGGGCGCGCGUUGGAUUCGCUGGUUGGUAGGGUAAAAGCCUGCCAAGGGCACGAUGCAUAGCUGGUCUGAGAGGAGGACCCGCCACACUGGGGCUGAGACACGGCCCAGACUCCUACGGAAGGCAGCAGUGGGGAAUAUUGUAGAAUGGGCGAAAGCGUGAUCAAGCAAUGCGGGGUGAGUGAGGAAGGCGUUAGGGUUGUAAAGCUGUUUUACCCGGGAUGAUAAUGACAGUACCGGGAGAAUAAGCUCCGGCUAACUCCGUG
RNAcentral lists this ribosomal RNA (433 nucleotides) under uncultured bacterium. RNAcentral describes it as "partial 16S ribosomal RNA". It matches the Rfam family "Bacterial small subunit ribosomal RNA", at positions 29 to 507 of the family's 1533-position model. The record is from RNAcentral.